Molecule: long non-coding RNA, 1793 nt
Organism: Myxocyprinus asiaticus (Chinese sucker)
Lineage: Eukaryota; Metazoa; Chordata; Actinopteri; Cypriniformes; Catostomidae
Exons: 4
Source: RefSeq, a predicted model, not a curated record
CCUAAGGCCACUUUGCACUUCAGUACCUGCUCUGCUCUCUUUCUCAGUGGGACUCUGGAACUGCCAGUCAGCUGUGAACAAAGCUGACUUCAUUCCAGCCUUUGCCACACAGUCCACCCUCAGCAUCCUGACACUGACAGAAACAUGGAUACGUCCAGAGGAUACAGCAACACCUGCUGCUCUCUCCAACAACUUCUCCUUCUCUCACACCCCUCAACACACCGGUAGGGGUGGGGGAACAGGUUUGCUCAUUCAUAACAACUGGACUUUUUCACCACACUCUUCACUAUGUAACAAUACUAGUUUUGAAUUCCAUGCUAUUACUACAGUGCAACCCACAAAAAUACAUGUUGUCAUCUAUUGCCCUCUAGGUCAGCUGACAAACUUUCUUGAGGAGUUGGAUGUCCGCUGUCCUCCUUGCCAGAGGAUGGAAGGCCACUUGUGGUUCUUGGUGAUUUCAACAUGCACCAAGACAAGCCCCAGGCCACUGAACUGAAUACUCUCCUGGCCUCAUUUGACUUGGAAAGACUACACACCACAGCAACUCACAGAUCGGGCAACCAGCUGGACCUCAUUUUUACACGCCAGUACGUGCUACACCUCCCAGCCCCUGGCUGUCUGACGUCCUUCGUGAACAUCGGACUGACCUCAGGGCAGCUGAGAGGAGACUGCGGAAAUCUAAAGAUCCAGCAGAUCUAGAACAUGCUGCUGGAUGACAGUCAGUCAGGUUUCAAAAGUGGACACUCCACCGAGACUGCCCUGCUGUCUGUCACUGAGUCGCUGAGACGGGCGAAAGCUGAAUCCAGAUCAUCCGUCCUGAUUCUGCUGGACCUUUCUGCAGCCUUUGACACAGUCAACCAUCAGAUCUUACUCUCUACCCUCUCCUUGCUGGGCAUCACAGGGACUGUGCUUGACUGGUUUAACUUCUAUCUCUCAGCCCAACGACACCACAGUGACUGCUCGAAUUUCUGCCUGCCUGGCAGACAUCUCGGCCUGGAUGAAGGAGCACCACCUACAACUCAACCCAGCCAAGACUGAACUCCUUGUCUUUCCAGCCAACCCUGCUGUUGAACACAACAUCACUGUGCAGCUGGGUGUUACUACAGUAACGCCUUCCAAAUCGGUCAGAAAUCUAGGGGUAACCAUUGACAACAGACUAAAUUUCACAGACCACAUCUCAAAGAAUGCAAGAUCAUGUAGAUUUACACUCUACAAUAUCAGGAAGAUAAGACCCUUCCUCUCUGAACAUGCCACACAACUGCUUGUCCAGUCACUUGUCAUAACUAGACUGGACUACUGUAACGCUCUCAUUGCAGGCCUCCCUGCAUGUGCAAUUAGACCCCUGCAAAUGAUCCAGAAUGCAGCUGCACGUGAACCAAAGAGAGCGCAUGUUACACCACUCCUUGUCUCUCUCCACUGGCUGCCGGUUGAUGCACGUAUCAAAUUCAAGGUUCUGAUGCUGGCAUACAGAACAGUCACUGGGUCUGCUCCAGCAUACCUAAAAUCAUUUGUGCAGAGCUAUGCGCCCACUAGAAGCCUGCGGUCAGCUAAGGAACGUCGCCUUGUUGUACCAACACAAAGAGGCACCAGAACACUUUCCCGGACAUUCAGCUUCAUCAUACCACAUUGGUGGAACGACCUUCCCAACUCCAUCCGUGAAGCUGACUCACUCUCUGUCUUCAAAAAAUGACUAAAAACACAUCUUUUCCAUGAGCACUUAACCAGUCAUUAAAAAAUAAAAUAAAUAAAUUUGAAUACUAUUCUGAUGCUAGUGAAACUUUGUAAUACGGAAC